CAAUAGCGUAUAUUUAAGUUGCUGCAGUUAAAAAGCUCGUAGUUGGAUUUCGGGUGGGAAUGGCCGGUCCGCCGUUUCGGUGUGCACUUGCUACGCCCACCUUGCUGCCGGGGACGUGCUCUUGAGUUCACGCUCGGGACACGGAGUCGGCGAGGUUACUUUGAGUAAAUUAGAGUGUUUCAAGCAGGCGCACGUCUUGAAUACAUUAGCAUGGAAUAAUAAGAUAGGACUUUGGUACUAUUUUGUUGGUUUGCAUACCAAAUUAAUGAUCAACAGGAACAGUUUGAGGAUAUUCGUAUGAACAUGUCAGAGGUGAAAUUCUUGGAUUUUGAUCAGACGAACUACUGCGAAAGCAUUUAUCAAGGAUGUUUUCAUUAA
RNAcentral lists this ribosomal RNA (378 nucleotides) under uncultured eukaryote. Its description in RNAcentral is "partial 18S ribosomal RNA". It matches the Rfam family "Eukaryotic small subunit ribosomal RNA", at positions 592 to 976 of the family's 1831-position model. The record is from RNAcentral.